ACGGAAGGCAGCAGUGGGGAAUAUUGCACAAUGGGGGAAACCCUGAUGCAGCGACGCCGCGUGAGCGAAGAAGUAUUUCGGUAUGUAAAGCUCUAUCAGCAGGGAAGAAAAUGACGGUACCUGACUAAGAAGCCCCGGCUAACUACGUGCCAGCAGCCGCGGUAAUACGUAGGGGGCAAGCGUUAUCCGGAUUUACUGGGUGUAAAGGGAGCGUAGACGGCAAGGUAAGUCUGAAGUGAAAUGCCGGGGCUCAACCCCGGAACUGCUUUGGAAACUAUCUUGCUCGAGUACAGGAGGGGUAAGCGGAAUUCCUAGUGUAGCGGUGAAAUGCGUAGAUAUUAGGAGGAACACCAGUGGCGAAGGCGGCUUACUGGACGGUAACUGACGUUGAGGCUCGAAAGCGUGGGGAGCAAACAGGAUUAGAUACCCUGGUA
Molecule: ribosomal RNA, 434 nt
Filed under: uncultured Lachnospiraceae bacterium
Lineage: Bacteria; Bacillati; Bacillota; Clostridia; Lachnospirales; Lachnospiraceae
Description: bacterial SSU rRNA
Rfam family: Bacterial small subunit ribosomal RNA
Source: RNAcentral